UAGUUGGUGGAGUGAUUUGUCUGGUUAAUUCCGUUAACGAACGAGACCUCAGCCUGCUAAAUAGUGUCAUUUUCUUCGGAAGAUGUGCACUUCUUAGAGGGACUACUUGUGAAACAACCAAGCGGAAGCUUGAGGCAAUAACAGGU
This 146-nucleotide ribosomal RNA is filed under the name Radiolaria sp. RNAcentral describes it as "partial small subunit ribosomal RNA". It matches the Rfam family "Eukaryotic small subunit ribosomal RNA", at positions 1295 to 1461 of the family's 1831-position model. The record is from RNAcentral.